Molecule: non-coding RNA, 428 nt
Organism: Callorhinus ursinus (northern fur seal)
Lineage: Eukaryota; Metazoa; Chordata; Mammalia; Carnivora; Otariidae
Source: RefSeq, a predicted model, not a curated record
CCUCUCACCACACCUGAAAAUCCAGCUUUACACAGGGAAAAAUGGAAAUUGGAAGUGAUUUAUUUACCCAGCCCCAGAAACGAAAAGAGGUAAGAAUGACAACAUUGAGAAAGUGAAGAUCUGGAUUCAUGGGCAGGGCCCCUCCACAAAGCUAGAAGAAGCUUUAGAAGCGCAGCUCAAAGAUGAGUACUGAACAUGAGAAAUGACUGGCUCCCGGAUCCUUUCAACCUCUUCAUAAAAUACACCAAGGUCACUGAAACAAACUGGAAGUCAGAGUGUUCUAUACAACAGUUUUACAUUAAGUAUGGAGGAGAAGAAAAGGAGAAAAAAAAAAAAACUUGGCACACUCAUCUGGCAAACAAAGCUGGAGGUGAAACCAGUUGCGAAAUUUCACUCUACUGGAGUCCGGAGGAUCCAGGAAAACGGGG